AGUGGCGAACGGGUGAGUAAUACAUCGGAACGUACCCAGUCGUGGGGGAUAGCCCGGCGAAAGCCGGAUUAAUACCGCAUACGACCUGAGGGUGAAAGCGGGGGACCUUUCGGGGCCUCGCGCGAUUGGAGCGGCCGAUGGCGGAUUAGCUUGUUGGUGGGGUAAAAGCCUACCAAGGCGACGAUCCGUAGCUGGUCUGAGAGGACGACCAGCCACACUGGAACUGAGACACGGUCCAGACUCCUACGGGAGGCAGCAGUGGGGAAUUUUGGACAAUGGGGGAAACCCUGAUCCAGCCAUGCCGCGUGAGUGAAGAAGGCCUUCGGGUUGUAAAGCUCUUUCGGCCGGAACGAAAUCGCACGGGACAAUACCCCGUGUGGAUGACGGUACCGGAAUAAGAAGCACCGGCUAACUACGUGCCAGCAGCCGCGGUAAUACGUAGGGUGCGAGUGUUAAUCGGAAUUACUGGGCGUAAAGCGUGCGCAGGCGGUUUGUUAAGCCAGAUGUGAAAGCCCCGGGCUCAACCUGGGAACUGCGUUUGGAACUAGCAAGCUAGAGUACGGCAGAGGGGGGUGGAAUUCCACGUGUAGCAGUGAAAUGCGUAGAUAUGUGGAGGAACACCGAUGGCGAAAGCAGCCCCCUGGGUCGAUACUGACGCUCAGGCACGAAAGCGUGGGGAGCAAACAGGAUUAGAUACCCUGGUAGUCCACGCCCU
This 715-nucleotide ribosomal RNA is filed under the name uncultured Hydrogenophilales bacterium. Its description in RNAcentral is "bacterial SSU rRNA". It matches the Rfam family "Bacterial small subunit ribosomal RNA", at positions 94 to 803 of the family's 1533-position model. The record is from RNAcentral. Lineage: Bacteria; Pseudomonadati; Pseudomonadota; Hydrogenophilia; Hydrogenophilales.